This 451-nucleotide ribosomal RNA is filed under the name uncultured bacterium. Its description in RNAcentral is "partial 16S ribosomal RNA". It matches the Rfam family "Bacterial small subunit ribosomal RNA", at positions 354 to 796 of the family's 1533-position model. The record is from RNAcentral.
GUGGGGAAUAUUGGACAAUGGGGGGAACCCUGAUCCAGCCAUGCCGCGUGUGUGAAGAAGGCCUUUUGGUUGUAAAGCACUUUAAGCGAGGAGGAGGCUACCGAGAUUAAUACUCUUGGAUAGUGGACGUUACUCGCAGAAUAAGCACCGGCUAACUCUGUGCCAGCAGCCGCGGUAAUACAGAGGGUGCAAGCGUUAAUCGGAUUUACUGGGCGUACAGCGCGCGUAGGUGGCCAAUUAAGUCAAAUGUGAAAUCCCCGAGCUUAACUUGGGAAUUGCAUACGAUACUGGUUGGCUAGAGUAGGGGAGAGGAUGGUAGAAUUCCAGGUGUAGCGGUGAAAUGCGUAGAGAUCUGGAGGAAUACCGAUGGCGAAGGCAGCCAUCUGGCCUAAUACUGACACUGAGGUGCGAAAGCAUGGGGAGCAAACAGGAUUAGAAACCCGUGUAGUCC